AUUGAACGCUGGCGGAAUGCUUAACACAUGCAAGUCGAGCGGGGUGUAGCAAUACAUCUAGCGGCGGACGGGUGAGGAAUACAUAGGAAUCUGCCUCAGAGCGGGGGAUAGCCAGGGGAAACCCUGAGUAAUACCGCAUGAUGUCGCAAGACCAAAGUGGGGGACCGCAAGGCCCCACACUCUGAGAGGAGCCUAUGUCUGAUUAGCUAGUUGGCGGGGAAUAGCCCACCAAGGCGACGAUCAGUAGCUGGUCUGAGAGGACGAUCAGCCACACCGGAACUGAGACACGGUCCGGACUCCUACGGGAGGCAGCAGUGGGGAAUAUUGGGCAAUGGGCGAAAGCCUGACCCAGCGACGCCGCGUU
RNAcentral lists this ribosomal RNA (364 nucleotides) under uncultured bacterium. RNAcentral describes it as "bacterial SSU rRNA". It matches the Rfam family "Bacterial small subunit ribosomal RNA", at positions 29 to 403 of the family's 1533-position model. The record is from RNAcentral.